RNAcentral lists this ribosomal RNA (355 nucleotides) under uncultured bacterium. RNAcentral describes it as "bacterial SSU rRNA". It matches the Rfam family "Bacterial small subunit ribosomal RNA", at positions 29 to 414 of the family's 1533-position model. The record is from RNAcentral.
AACGAACGCUGGCGGCAGGCCUAACACAUGCAAGUCGAACGGUCCUUCGGGAUAGUGGCGCACGGGUGAGUAACGCGUGGGAAUAUACCCUUGACUGCGGAAUAAUAUUUGGAAACGAAUACUAAUACCGCAUAAUGACUCCGGUCCAAAGAUUUAUCGGUCAAGGAUUAGCCCGCGUUAGAUUAGAUAGUUGGUGAGGUAACGGCUCACCAAGUCGACGAUCUAUAGCUGGUCUGAGAGGAUGAUCAGCCACACUGGAACUGAGACACGGUCCAGACUCCUACGGGAGCAGCAGUGAGGAAUAUUGGACAAUGGGGGCAACCCUGAUCCAGCCAUGCCGCGUGAGUGAAGAAGG